RNAcentral lists this ribosomal RNA (253 nucleotides) under uncultured bacterium. Its description in RNAcentral is "partial 16S ribosomal RNA". It matches the Rfam family "Bacterial small subunit ribosomal RNA", at positions 524 to 776 of the family's 1533-position model. The record is from RNAcentral.
UACGUAGGGCGCAAGCGUUGUCCGGAAUUAUUGGGCGUAAAGAGCUCGUAGGCGGCCUGUUGCGUCCGCUGUGAAAUCCCGGGGCUCAACCCCGGGCCUGCAGUCGAUACGGGCGGACUUGAGUUCGGCAGGGGAGACUGGAAUUCCUGGUGUAGCGGUGAAAUGCGCAGAUAUCAGGAGGAACACCGGUGGCGAAGGCGGGCCUCUGGGCCACUACUGACGCUGAGAAGCGAAAGCAUGGGGAGCGAACAGG